GGGCAGGUGGAAAGUGCUCGCCCCUGGCUUGGUUGUCUGCCUGGAGUCUGUGCAGACAACAGUCUUCUGGGAUUCUAGCAAGAGCUGGAAUUCCACUUGAGCCCCACCUCAUAGGAAACCGAAAAUUCUCUACGCUCUUCAGCACCCCGGCAAAGGCCAGUCUGAGUUACCUUUCCGAAAACGGCUUCGCUUUGCGCAGCAUACCUGUUCAGCAUUCCAGAAGGAUUUGAGGAUCAUCCUUUUCUAAAAUAAAGCCGGAGUAUUUGGAGGAUUUGGAAAAUUGAGAUGAGAAGCAUCUACUUAGAAAUGCCAAGUAACUCAGCUGAUAAAUAGCAAAGACAGAAGUCUUCAGGCUGGAGGCAAUUCUGUGAGACAGUUGAGCCCUCCAGAGCGGGUAGGAGAUUGAUAGACCUACACAGAAGAUAGAUCCAGCCGUGCUGUUGGCCCUACAAGAAGAAGACACUCUUUCCAGAAGACAUAGAACAUUUCUGAACCUGGGAAAGAUGCCUGGAAACUGGGAGAAGAGAGAAGAGAGCACUUCGCCAUCCUGCCGAGGCAUCUCCCACCAUACUCAAUACUUUUCACCAGGUCACUGCUGAGCUGUUCUCGUUCAGUCUUGGUUUGAUGGAACAAUAGUCUGAAAUUUUUACUUUCAAUUAAACUCACUUGUUGAACCACCUCUAUCUUCAAAUGAUUCUAUUAGGAUGGCUAAUUAUAGCUAUUGCUACAAGGCAUUAUUUGCACUCAAUUUCAGCUUAGGCAAUGUGGUUCAAGUGUUUUAUAUUUUCACUCUCCUGAGUUAUGUGUAAUCAUCAUCCUCUUACACUACAGGCUUCAAAUGAGCUAUUUUUAGAAACCCAAAUCAAAACAGCAAUUUUGGUGGUGACCAUAUCUGGUCUAACCUUAAGUGCUGGUAAAAACAGUCAAAGACACAAUUUAAACACACAAAUGUAAUGAUUCAAGGACAGGACCCAUAUAUGACAGAGAACAUGUACCUGGUGUGGUGAAGGAGACAAUAACUAAUAAAAUACAAGAGGCUGAAAACCACACCCACUGGGAAUAUUUCACCUGGUGUUUCAAGUCUUCCCUCACCUGCUGAUAGGUCAUCUCAUGAGUCUAUGAAAAGACUUGAGAACCCAGCAAAGUACAGGAGGUCUUGUUUCACAAAAGAGUCUUCGGGUCUUCUGGGCCCUUAUGACACAUGCCAGACCUUUCAGGGAGCCACAAGAAUGGCUCAGUUCUAAACCACUGUAAUUCAUGGGUAGGCUUUGCUCGCUGAGACCUGAGCCAUAGGGUUUUCCCCAUUGAUGAAGCUCAGGACCACAGGGGUCACUGGCUCUUCUUCAUAUGCCUGAGGUGAGUUUGCCUUGCCAUAUGGCGUGGAAACUCUGGCCCUUAGUCUGUACAUGAUGUGGUUGCGCGAGAGGUCAUAAUUAAUAGGUGUGAAAAAUGCUAGCAGCUGUACCCCAACGGUAUCUGAGGGUGCUGUGUGCCUCCACUCCUGAAUGCUUUGCUUACGUGUUCCAUGGGUUGAGCAGAGUUUUAUAAGAUUAAGCCCAGACUCCACCAUACGUUUCUCUUAAUGGAGAUGCUAAGAACACGCAGCUACACCUCUUCCAGUGUUUGCUUCCUACCAGCUGGGUCUUCUGGUGACAUGGCGCUAUGCAAUAGACGUUCGACCCAUUCCUUUCCCUUUUUAUGGAAAAUGCAUAAUUUUUGGGGGGUGUGAUAGUGCACACAUGUGAUUUUAGUUCUUGGAAAACUGAGGCAAGAAGAUCAAGAAUUCAAGACAAGCCUGGGUUGUAGUGCAAAACCCCAUCUCAGAACAACAAAAACAUAAUUGUAGAGGCUGUGAACUCCAAGUGAAUAUCUAGAUGACACACUCAUACAAUGGGUGCAAAGAAAAUGGAGAAGAUUUCAUUGGCAAAGUGUACCUGGCCAACUGAUGAUAUGAAUUAGUGAGUAAGUCACGGGGAUCUUGCUGUGGUUAAUAGCUGACUUUCUUGAUUGCAUGUGUUAGAAUCUCUUGUAGAUCAAUGCAGAUCAAUCCAAGUUGCCCUCUCCCUCCCCAUAUUUUGUGUUCUCAGCACUUAACACCAUAUAUAUUCACAACUAGUAAACUUUCAAGAGUGUGUCAACGUACCUUACGAUUCAUAGAUCCUUGAGGAAAGGCAUAAUGUGGGGAAGACUCGGACACAAAUCCCUUGGCCUCUUAUAUUCAGCUUAUGGAAACUCCCUUCUUCCGGGGGCUUCCCUGAGGAGCCAGGCUGGGGGUACACACACUCCCCAGAGAACUGGUUGAGUUCUGAUUAUACCAGCUGUUCCAUUACCCUUCUGUGAUUGGCAUACCUCUCCUCCAUCAGAAAUGCACCAACUGAGAAGACUUCACGUUCUGGAUAAAUGGCACUGGGAGGCCUUAAAAACAGAGAUAUAAUUUUCUCCCCCGUAUUUCUCUACUGCAGUUCCCCGGAAAGGAAUUAGGAAGUAGAGGUUUUUAGGUUGAGUAAGCCAGUAAGGACAUUAUUAACCUUUCCCGCUCACGCAAUUAAUAUCCAUUUCCUAUUGAUCUUAGCACGCUGGAAGCACAUCUGGCAAUGUUGCUGUGUCCCCAGCAAACAUCUGAGCUUCAGGUGUGUUCACUUUGGUUUCACAUAAGCAGUCCUCUGCCGUCUAGCUUCCGGCUGUGACUAAUUUCCCCGCAAUAUUUUAAACUUAGAGAAGUAUGAAGAACAUUGGCUCCCUACCCUCAUCACUUAAAACUGGGUGUGAGCCAUCCCCCCCAAUCCAUCAGCACCUGAAGCAGGUGGGCAAGCUGGUUCUGGGGUUGUAAGAGUGGGACCGCUGCCCCUGUCCCUCACCGGCUGCAGCACUUAGGAGAGUAGGCCCUGUGCUUCACCUGGGCAGCACAGUAGAAUCGUUCUUGUUGAGGUGUGGGUGAGCCACCCCCAAAGUUGUGAGCUUAGGAGAGCUAUUCCCAUUACUCACCUGUCAUGUGGCAGCAGGGGUGGGGGAAGAGAUGCCCACCCAGUCAAUGCCUGAGGCAGGUGGUAGACCUAGUCCCUGAGGUCAUAAGAAGGAGAGCUGUCUCUGUCCCCAUCAGCUACCACACUUGGGAGAGUGGCUUGGGCAACACAGCAGAGCUGGCCCUGAAGGUGUAGGGGUGGGAGAACCUACCCUGAGGACAUGAAAGCCUGAGAAACAGCCCUGCCCCUUGCUCAUUACUGCAAGGGAUGAGCUAGCCAGGGCAAUGCUGGAGAGCUCAUCCUGGUGGUGAAGACAGAGGAGAGAUGUUGGGCCGACCAAUCCUACAACUAACUGCCCAGACUCAGAACCAGGGUUAUGUGUUGGUCCACCCCAACAGCCACCCAAUCUGUGGUCUGCUGGAGCCAGGUGGGGUAUGGUAUUAGUCCUGUGGACCCUGGGCUGCAGAAUCUCCAUGACUCAGGGUCACACUGGGAUGUCCAUAAAGAAUCCCAAUGAGGACCCAGUGUCAGUGAUAUAGCAGAGACUAGGGCCGCAAACCAGACCAGUGAUUGUUUGCAAUGAAUGCCUGCGUGGAAAAGUAGAGGUGAAGGGGUUUGUUGUGUGACUCACUGUGUCACACUGCAGUUCCCAUGACAAGACUGAUUUUUCUUUUCUUCCUCUCUUCAGUUUUAUUUUAUUUCAUUUUGGAGGGGGGGGUUUGAAGGGCAAAAGGCAGAUAUGAAAGGACAGGAAAAUGAAUUGGAUAGAAAAUAUAUAAGAGCAAUUGUUCUACAUAACUCUGUCAUUCUGCAGCCCUCCACACCCACAGGGUUGUCGCUUUAAGGUGUCUUCCAUUUUUCCCACCCAUGAUUUUCUGCCGGUGACACCUGGGCUGUUUCAUAACUUUUCAAUUAAAUGUUGAUGUUUCCUUUUCUCUAAAUCAUUAUUAACAAACUAAAAAAGGUAACUGCCUAACUUUUUUCCUUCCAGUAGGUAAAGUUUUCCUUCUAGCAUGUUCUGUCUCCAGAAACAAUGACACAAAUAGAACCACUGUAUUAAAGGAUAUGCAUGCUGUCAAGCUAUGUGUGUAUUUGUGUUUAGAUUAAUAGACGUUUUUCCAGGGUAGGUAUGGCUUUGUCAGGGAAUCCACUGAGUUCUUUUUUUCCCUCACACUAUCUUAUUACUAAUAUCUUGCACUGCUGUACUCGAUUUCUUAGAAUUUAUAUGGCAAUAUUGGUGCCAAAGUUCAUUACAUUGGGAGUAAGUAAGCUUAAUUAAUGCAUAGUGUUGCAUAAAUCUACCAUCACUGGAUCAUAAGGGAACUUUCACUACCUUAGAAAUACACCAUACUCCAGGGUGUCCAUCCUUCUCUUCCUUCUUUCCUUCCUUCCUUCCUUCCUUCCUUCCUUCCUUCCUUCCUUCCUUCCUUCCUUCCUUCCUUCCUCCCUUCUUUCCUUCCUUCCUUCUCUCUCUCGUCUUUGUUGUUGUUUUGUUUUUGUGGAGACAGGGUUUCUCUGUGUAGCCCUGGCUGUCCUGGAACUUGCUCUGGUUUCGAACUCAGAGGUCUGCGUGCCUCUGCCUUCCAAGUGCUGGGAUUAGAGGUGUGCACCACCAUGCCCAGCAUCCCUUUUAACUCUUAUCAAGGACUGGGCCUUUUACUAUCUCUUGAACAGGUUUGAGACUAUCACAUGGUUGGAGGUCACAUAAUAGGUAGCCUUUUCAUACCUGCUUUGUGCAUGUGACUAAACUAUUGAUUGAUGUUCUAGAGUCUAGAUGAGCUAGAGUUGCCCCAUCUUGUCUGCCUUCAAAUCUGUGCAUCAAGGAAUGAAGCUACUACUAUAAACAUCUAUACUGAGUAACGUUUUCAGCUCAUUUGUGGAAAUUCUAAGGAGGACAGAAUCUUAGGUAAAGACAAUGUUGAGUUUAAAGGUUACUGCCAGACCCUCUUCCAAACUGCUGUACGGUCCCCACUAGCUGUGAAUUGAGAGCCUCAGUGACACGCACUGGGGAGGUAACUCAGCCCUACGCCACUCAUGCAGCAUUCUCAAAGUCCUAGGUUUGACCUUAGGAACACAUCAAUAAAAUUUCACUGAGUCUGGUGGUGCAGACCUGAAAUCCCAUCUGUCCGAGCAGCUGUGGCAGCGGGAUCACAGUUUCAAGUCCAUCUUGAGUACAGGAAACUCCUGUAGUUCCUGCCAAUGUUCUAGAUUUGGGCUAUAUUGAUGGGUGUGUAGUGGCAUCGCCAUAUUGUUUUAGUUUGUGUUUCCAUGGCAACAGAUAGUGUGGAGCAUCUUUCAUAUUUUAUUUGCUUCUACCUUUCAGUGAAGUAUCUGCUUAGAUCAUUCUCUUGCCUGGUUUUUAUUUGCUUUAAUUUAGGUGCUCAUUUUCUUUUCCUAAGUUUUAAGAAUGAUGGAGGUGGGUCUUGUAUCUUAUCUGUUGAUUUCAUUGGUUAAUAAUAAAGAAACUGCCUCGGCCCUCAUAGGACAGAAAAUUAGGUAGGCGGAGUAGACAGAGGAGAAUGCUGGGAAAAAGAAGCUGAGUGAGUGAGUCGCCAUGAUGCUCCCACUCCAGACAGACGCAGGUUAAGAUCCUCUCCGGUAAGCCAGCUCAUGGGCUACACAGAAUAUUAGAAAUGGGUUAGAACAAUAUGUAAGAGCUAGCCAAUAAGAAACUGGACCUAGCCGGGCCAGGCAGUGUUUGAAAGAAUACAGUUUCCGUGUAAUUAUUUCUGGGUAUAAACUAGC
Alexandromys fortis (reed vole) is the source of this 5708-nucleotide long non-coding RNA. RefSeq lists it as uncharacterized. Lineage: Eukaryota; Metazoa; Chordata; Mammalia; Rodentia; Cricetidae. The record is from RefSeq and is a predicted model, not a curated record. The transcript is spliced from 4 exons.